This 211-nucleotide small RNA is filed under the name Paenibacillus macerans. Its description in RNAcentral is "c-di-AMP sequence". It matches the Rfam family "c-di-AMP riboswitch aptamer (ydaO/yuaA leader)". Rfam says of the family: This family represents a conserved RNA structure found upstream of the ydaO and yuaA genes in Bacillus subtilis and related genes in other bacteria. The ydaO/yuaA element is thought to act as a genetic "off" switch for the ydaO and yuaA genes in its native state. The record is from Rfam by way of RNAcentral. Lineage: Bacteria; Bacillati; Bacillota; Bacilli; Caryophanales; Paenibacillaceae.
GAACCAGUCUCGCUGAGUCUCCGCAUGGAGAACGGGGGAACCGGCGCAAACAUGGAUCGGCUGAUGCCGGCCAGGUUUGCAAAUGAUUCCUUUUCAGGGUCUUAGGGGUGAAUUCGAGGUCGUUGCGCCAUGAGCGAACGAACUGAGAAAGGGCGGCUCUCUUUCGUCCGAACCCGACAGCUAACCUCGUAAGCGUACCAAGAGAGGUAAC